RNAcentral lists this long non-coding RNA (1255 nucleotides) under Homo sapiens (human). Its description in RNAcentral is "HSALNT0308066". The record is from RNAcentral. Lineage: Eukaryota; Metazoa; Chordata; Mammalia; Primates; Hominidae.
UCCUAUCGUAAGAGCUCUCUGAAGUCUUGUUUGCAGAACUGUCUGCAAGGCUGCUUGUCACCUUCGAAUAUACUCCAUCAACAUGCUGCCACUUCAUCUUGUUUAGGCUCUUCGACUGCUUUAUAGAAGGACACUGAAGUCCACAUCUAUCUCCUUGAGACAGGCAAAGAAACAAAUCCUUUAUCCUGUCUCAAAAAGAGCUGACAAGCUUUUAGUAGUGUUUAUCUUCACUGAAGGGUGAUAACCUUGAAAAUGAAAGUGAAAAGAGACUGAUACAAUUAGAUAAAGAAACCAGGACUCAAAGAUGAAGUAACUUGUUCAAAGUCUGGCAGCUACUAAGUGACAGAGCUGAAAUUCAAGCCACCAACUACAAGUACAGAUGGACUAAGGGGGCGCAAACCCCCCUGGGUGAAACAACAAAAAGAAAAACAGAUAAAAUAUAUUAAACAACAGCUCUCAAGAUACUAGCAUCAGGCAACAAACCAAAGUGAUCCCUGUGAGAUAGUAAACAAAUGAGGUGAACCCUAUGACAGGUGCAACUUACUGCUUUGCAGAGUUUCCAGGCCAUGACACUAAGAGGAGAUAUCCAAGCAGAGCCCAGUGAAUGACCCAGAUUGAGGAGACAGAGCUGAAAGUCCAAGAAGACCCAAGGCAGCUGGAAUUUGCAAGACCGAGUACCAGAGAAAAGAGGGCUGAGCAGAGAUAGAAUUCCAGAGAUUUGUAAAGGGUCUCCCUUAAGUAUUUAGCAGAGUAUUAAUCAUUGUAGGCAUUUGAGGCAGUUACCUGUGGCCAGGAAAAAAACCACCCAAGAGGAUUAAAGGAAACAGUGUUUUAGCACUCACACAAGGCCAGAAAUAGCCUAUUUUCCCAUCCAGAUUGACUUAACUUCGUAAUUUGUGGGGCUUUGGGUAAAAAAGUCUACUCAUUAGUUAGUCUUACCUCAGUAGUAGGGAAUAAGUAGAUGUAGACUAAACACUAUACUGGUACCACCAAAAAAGCUUUAAAAACAGACUUAAAAGAAGUAAAUGCUUUUCAAGUAAUUUAACUGCAUCCUAGAACAAAAGACAUGCAAUUGGAGUCCCUGAAAGGAGGAUGUGAGAAAAAAUAUUACAGGAAAUAAUGACUAAAAUUGUUUCAAAUUUGAUGAAAGGAUAGACACAAGAAACUCAACAAAACUCAAAGCGUACAAGAAACAUGAAGAAGCCAGGUGCAGUGGCUCAUACUUGUAGUCCCAGCUGCUUGGGAGGCUGAGGCA